AAGCAUAAUUACUUCCAUCGAAAAAUGGAGGUACAGACAGUGAUUGACUCAUCUAGACAACUAUGGGUCAGGACUCGAGAUUUGGCUCUGAUACCACUUGAAAAAGCUAUAGUUCGACCUAACCAACACCUAGAGGGGGGAUGAAUAGGUAUUUAUGCAAAAUUAAGGCAAUUAAUUAACUUAUGCAACAAGUCACAUAAAUUAUGCAUUGUCCAUAUUCAUUCACAUACUUUAUCUACCUAAGUUGAAUUACCGGUUGAAAAGUAAAUAACAAAAACCAGUAAAAACGCCACAAAAUGUUGACGGAGAAAACCCAACUGGGUAAAAACUCCGGGCACAAGCCAAUAGAGAUCCACUAUAGAAGAUAUUGACUUACAGUACGCCAGACAUUAUUGAUUCUAACAAUACUCUGAC
Molecule: long non-coding RNA, 414 nt
Filed under: Olea europaea (common olive)
Lineage: Eukaryota; Viridiplantae; Streptophyta; Magnoliopsida; Lamiales; Oleaceae
Description: long non-coding RNA (OEUR_LNC011609)
Source: RNAcentral